RNAcentral lists this ribosomal RNA (473 nucleotides) under Rhodococcus cerastii. RNAcentral describes it as "bacterial SSU rRNA". It matches the Rfam family "Bacterial small subunit ribosomal RNA", at positions 88 to 572 of the family's 1533-position model. The record is from RNAcentral. Lineage: Bacteria; Bacillati; Actinomycetota; Actinomycetes; Mycobacteriales; Nocardiaceae.
UACACGAGCGGCGAACGGGUGAGUAACACGUGGGUGAUCUGCCCUGCACUCUGGGAUAAGCUUGGGAAACUGGGUCUAAUACCGGAUAUGACCGCAUGCUCGCAUGGGGGUGUGGNGGAAAGAUUUAUCGGUGCAGGAUGGGCCCGCGGCCUAUCAGCUUGUUGGUGGGGUAAUGGCCUACCAAGGCGACGACGGGUAGCCGACCUGAGAGGGUGACCGGCCACACUGGGACUGAGACGACGGCCCAGACUCCUACGGGAGGCAGCAGUGGGGAAUAUUGCACAAUGGGCGGAAGCCUGAUGCAGCGACGCCGCGUGAGGGAUGAAGGCCUUCGGGUUGUAAACCUCUUUCAGCAGGGACGAAGCGUGAGUGACGGUACCUGCAGAAGAAGCACCGGCUAACUACGUGCCAGCAGCCGCGGUAAUACGUAGGGUGCGAGCGUUGUCCGGAAUUACUGGGCGUAAAGAGUUCGU